AGCGAACGCUGGCGGCAGGCUUAACACAUGCAAGUCGAGCGGGCACUUUCGGGUGUCAGCGGCGGACGGGUGAGUAACGCGUGGGAACGUGCCCUCUGGUUCGGAAUAACUCAGGGAAACUUGAGCUAAUACCGGAUACGCCCUUUUGGGGAAAGGCUUGCUGCCGGAGGAUCGGCCCGCGUCUGAUUAGCUAGUUGUUGAGGUAACGGCUCACCAAGGCGACGAUCAGUAGCUGGUCUGAGAGGAUGAUCAGCCACACUGGGACUGAGACACGGCCCAGACUCCUACGGGAGGCAGCAGUGGGGAAUAUUGGACAAUGGGCGCAAGCCUGAUCCAGCCAUGCCGCGUGAGUGAUGAAGGCCUUAGGGUUGUAAAGCUCUUUUAUCCGGGACGAUAAUGACGGUACCGGAGGAAUAAGCCCCGGCUAACUUCGUG
RNAcentral lists this ribosomal RNA (435 nucleotides) under uncultured bacterium. RNAcentral describes it as "partial 16S ribosomal RNA". It matches the Rfam family "Bacterial small subunit ribosomal RNA", at positions 29 to 507 of the family's 1533-position model. The record is from RNAcentral.